CUGAGGUGCUGCUGUAUCCUUUAGUGCGCAACAGCUGUGGGAAAAGUCAAAUUAAAUGCUAGGGAUCGUCCGGAGAGGAACUGAAAACCAAACUGGCAGCUGUCAUAAUGCCACCAUAAUAAUUUAUGGUGGGGUAAUGCGUGCAGUUUUGGUCGCCUUGUCCUCAAAAGGGAUAUUUUAGGAUUUGGAAAGGUUCAGAACAGGGCAACCAAAAUUGGAUGGAGUGGCUCCCCUGUGAGGAAUGGUCGCAGCUUUUAGGAGUUUCUUAGUUUAGAGGAUAGGCGAGAAAGAGGCAACGUGAUAGAAGUUCUAUAAAACUCCGCUUGGCAUGGAUGGAGAGAAGUUAUUUCUCCCUGUCUCAUGACACUGGAAGUCACGGGCAUCCUAGGAAAGUUCGGGGCAGACGAAAAGUACGCAGCGCAUGGUGAAAUUAUGGAACUGGAGAGCAGUGAUGGGUCACGGGGAUGGCUUUAAAAGUGGAUUAGACCCAUUUAUGGAGGAGAACUAGGCUGUUGAUGGCAACUAGCCAUCAAGGAGGCUGUGCUCUUCACGGUUGGAGGCAGCACUUUCUGGAAAACGCCGGAGGGGAGAGCGACUCCUGUGUUCGAAUCCUGCUUGCGUCUUUCCCUUCUGGGGUAUCUGGUCGGCCACCAUGAGGACAGGAGGCUAGGCUACAUGGGCGCCCUUUAGCCUGAUCCAAAGUGAGGCCAAAAUUCAGAA
Molecule: non-coding RNA, 720 nt
Organism: Podarcis lilfordi (Lilford's wall lizard)
Lineage: Eukaryota; Metazoa; Chordata; Lepidosauria; Squamata; Lacertidae
Source: the annotation of a GenBank genome assembly